CCUACGGGAGGCAGCAGUGGGGAAUAUUGGACAAUGGGCGCAAGCCUGAUCCAGCAAUGCCGCGUGAGUGAUGAAGACCUUAGGGUUGUAAAGCUCUUUUACCCGGGAUGAUAAUGACAGUACUGGGAGAAUAAGCUCCGGCUAACUCCGUGCCAGCAGCCGCGGUAAU
This 169-nucleotide ribosomal RNA is filed under the name uncultured bacterium. Its description in RNAcentral is "partial 16S ribosomal RNA". It matches the Rfam family "Bacterial small subunit ribosomal RNA", at positions 338 to 524 of the family's 1533-position model. The record is from RNAcentral.